Molecule: transfer-messenger RNA, 408 nt
Filed under: Patescibacteria group
Lineage: Bacteria
Also listed under: 1 other name
Description: JAHIRA01 sp018818905 Standard tmRNA
Rfam family: transfer-messenger RNA
About the family: Bacterial tmRNA, also known as 10Sa RNA or SsrA, is named for its dual tRNA and mRNA-like properties. Its role is to liberate the mRNA from a stalled ribosome.
Source: RNAcentral
GGGGAUGCUUGGUUUCGAUGGAGAAGAUCUUUUUAAAACGUCAAAUCAAGUGGGCAAGACCACUUGUAAAUCUCUUCUUGCAACUCGAUAAAUGCAAACAUUAUCACUAAGGUGAAAGACAAAGCUAAGGCUUUUGCUUCAGCUUUCAGUCUGCAACCUGUUACCGCUGCUGUCUAAUUUUCAGUAGCCAUCCAUGACUUGCCGCUAGGGGUGGGUCAAAUGGGUGCCAUUUUUUCCUAGCUGCGGGGUAGUAGUUCCUUGAUUCUACCUUCAAGUUUGCCAAGGAUAUAGCCAGUGAGCUUUUGUCUGUUUCUAUUCACUGGCCAAACAAAUCUAAACAGACUAAGUUUGUAUCACGUUUUUCAAAUUCUUUUUCAGACGCGGGUUCGAUUCCCGCCAUCUCCACUG